Molecule: unclassified non-coding RNA, 395 nt
Filed under: soil metagenome
Description: partial contains 5.8S ribosomal RNA, internal transcribed spacer 2, and large subunit ribosomal RNA
Rfam family: 5.8S ribosomal RNA (bases 1-122)
Source: RNAcentral
GAUGAAGAACGUAGCGAAAUGCGAUACUUGGUGUGAAUUGCAGAAUCCCGUGAACCAUCGAGUCUUUGAACGCAAGUUGCGCCCGAAGCCAUCAGGUUGAGGGCACGUCUGCCUGGGCGUCACAUAUCGUUGCCCAAUGCCUAUUGCAGUGCAAUAGGAAUUUCUAGGGCGAAUGAUGGCUUCCCGUGAGCGUUGUUGCCUCGCGGUUGGUUGAAAAUCGAGUCCUUGGUAGGGUGUGCCAUGGUAGAUGGUGGUCGAGUUAGAACGAUACCGAUCAUGUGCAUGCUCCCCAAAAUAUGGCCUCUAUGACCCACACGCGUCUUUUGACGCUCAUGACGAGACCUCAGGUCAGGCGGGGCUACCUGCUGAAUUUAAGCAUAUCAAUAAGCGGAGGA